Molecule: long non-coding RNA, 215 nt
Organism: Salvelinus sp. IW2-2015
Lineage: Eukaryota; Metazoa; Chordata; Actinopteri; Salmoniformes; Salmonidae
Exons: 3
Source: RefSeq, a predicted model, not a curated record
GGGGCCUCCUGGUAUCACUGGUCCAAAAGGCCAGAGAGGAGAGAGGGGGGAGCCUGGGUAUGUCAUAGGGGGCAUAGGAGACGGCCAUUAUGCUCCUGGACGAAAGGGAGAGCCUGGAUCAUCAGGACCCCAAGGGGCUUCGGGUGUACCAGGGGUCUCUGGACCCUCAGGCCUGCCUGGACAGUCAGGUUCACCUGGGUCCUCAGGGAUAUCUG